This 252-nucleotide ribosomal RNA is filed under the name uncultured bacterium. RNAcentral's name for it is "partial 16S ribosomal RNA". It matches the Rfam family "Bacterial small subunit ribosomal RNA", at positions 524 to 776 of the family's 1533-position model. The record is from RNAcentral.
UAUAGAGGGUGCGAGCGUUGUCCGGAAUCACUGGGCGUAAAGGGCGCGUAGGUGGUCGGGUAAGCGUGUGGUGAAAGCCCGGGGCUCAACCCCGGGUCGGCCGUGCGGACUGCCGACUGGAGCACGGUAGAGGCCAAUGGAAUUCCGGGUGUAGCGGUGGAAUGCGUAGAGAUCCGGAAGAACACCGGUGGCGAAGGCGGUUGGCUGGGCCGUGGCUGACACUGAGGCGCGACAGCGUGGGGAGCAAACAGG